GAUGAACGCUGGCGGCGUGCCUAAUACAUGCAAGUCGAGCGAACGGACGAGAAGCUUGCUUCUCUGAUGUUAGCGGCGGACGGGUGAGUAAAACGUGGAUAACCUACCUAUAAGACUGGGAUAACUUCGGGAAACCGGAGCUAAUACCGGAUAAUAUUUUGAACCGCAUGGUUCAAAAGUGAAAGACGGUCUUGAUGUCACUUAUAGAUGGAGCCGCGCUGCAUUAGCUAGUUGGUAAGGUAACGGCUUAGCAAGGCAACGAUGCAUAGCCGACCUGAGAGGGUGAUCGGCCACACUGGAACUGGGUCGCGGUCCAGACUCCUGAGGGAGGCAGCAGUAGGGAAUCUUCCGCAAUGGGCGGAAGCCUAACGGAGCAACGCCGCGUGAGUGAUGAAGGUCUUCGGAUCGUAAAACUCUGUUAUUAGGGAAGAACAUAUUUGUAAGUAACGGUGCACAUCUUGACGGUACCUAAUCAGAAAGCCACGGCUAACUACGUG
RNAcentral lists this ribosomal RNA (497 nucleotides) under uncultured bacterium. RNAcentral describes it as "partial 16S ribosomal RNA". It matches the Rfam family "Bacterial small subunit ribosomal RNA", at positions 28 to 507 of the family's 1533-position model. The record is from RNAcentral.